CCUACGGGAGGCAGCAGUGGGGAAUAUUGGGCAAUGGGCGCAAGCCUGAACCAGCAACGCCGCGUGAAGGAAGACGGCUUUCGGGUUGUAAACUUCUUUUAAGAGGGAAGUGCAGAAGACGGUACCUCUUGAAUAAGCUACGGCUAAUUACGUGCCAGCAGCCGCGGUAAUACGUAGGUGGCGGGCGUUGUCCGGAUUUACUGGGUGUAAAGGGCGUGUAGCCGGGCUUACAAGUCAGAUGUGAAAGUCCGGGGCUCAACCCUGGACCUGCAUUUGAAACUGUUGGUCUUGAGUAUCGGAGGGGAUGGCGGAAUUCCUAGUGUAGCGGUGAAAUGCGUAGAUAUUAGGAGGAACACCAGUGGCGAAGGCGGGCGGCUGGACGACAACUGACGGUGAGGCGCGAAAGCGUGGGGAGCAAACAGGAUUAGAUACCCCUGUAGUC
This 442-nucleotide ribosomal RNA is filed under the name uncultured bacterium. RNAcentral describes it as "partial 16S ribosomal RNA". It matches the Rfam family "Bacterial small subunit ribosomal RNA", at positions 338 to 795 of the family's 1533-position model. The record is from RNAcentral.